ACCGCUGACCCCAGUCCAUUAUGGAUGCUGUGGUUUUCACACGUGACGAUACGCCGCGUUUUUUCCGCGUAGUUUU
This 76-nucleotide transfer RNA is filed under the name Salmonella sp. FORC89. Its description in RNAcentral is "tRNA-Val". The record is from RNAcentral. Lineage: Bacteria; Pseudomonadati; Pseudomonadota; Gammaproteobacteria; Enterobacterales; Enterobacteriaceae.